This 429-nucleotide ribosomal RNA is filed under the name uncultured Lachnospiraceae bacterium. RNAcentral describes it as "bacterial SSU rRNA". It matches the Rfam family "Bacterial small subunit ribosomal RNA", at positions 355 to 794 of the family's 1533-position model. Lineage: Bacteria; Bacillati; Bacillota; Clostridia; Lachnospirales; Lachnospiraceae. The record is from RNAcentral.
UGGGGAAUAUUGCGCAAUGGGGGCGAACCCUGACGCAGCAACGCCGCGUGAUUGAAGAAGGUCUUCGGAUUGUAAAAAAUACUUUUAUUCAGGGACGAAGAAGUGACGGUACCUGAUGAAGAAGCCCCGGCUAACUACGUGCCAGCAGCCGCGGUAAUACGUAGGGGGCGAAGCGUUAUCCGGAUUUACUGGGUGUAAAGGGAGCGUAGACGGCAGGGCAAGUCUGAAGUGAAAGGCGGGGGCUCAACCCCCGGACUGCUUUGGAAACUGUCCGGCUGGAGUGCAGGAGAGGUAAGUGGAAUUCCUAGUGUAGCGGUGAAAUGCGUAGAUAUUAGGAGGAACACCAGUGGCGAAGGCGGCUUACUGGACUGUAACUGACGUUGAGGCUCGAAAGCGUGGGGAGCAAACAGGAUUAGAUACCCUGGUAGU